CAGGACCCAUCCGUCAGGCCAUCCCCAACCUCCCGCGCCUCCCGCUCGGAUAAGCCACAACGCCGUGCCCGCCCGCAACCGUCGGCGAAGUCUCGCGGAUAAGCCGUAUCCGUCGCUCCCCGCACCGCUGCCCUUGCCUAUAAAAGCCCAGUGACCCCCUCUCUUGACCCCGCCGUCCCGCUAACCCUCUCGCCGCUUCUAGCCGCCGCCGUCGUCGUGUGCAUCUCGUCGGAGCCGAGCCGCUCCGCUGUCAAAUUCGUCGCUGAUCGUCGGAGCCGCCGCACGGAUGACACUGCGUCCCGCCGGAGCACCGGAGCUCCGCCGCGAGCCCUUGCUCGACCCUGGCCACCCCAACGCAUGCCGCCACCACCGUUGGGACGCCCGUGUCGCACUCUUCUUCCCCAUCUACUUCCCCGGCGCCGAGGACCGCCGCAACCGCCGCCCCGCCGAUGCUGAGCCUCCUGCCGCCGCCUUUGCCCCGUUAUUGUCCGGAGUGCGAAGAAAAUUACUAUCGUUCUCUAGAGUUGAAUCACCAGUACCAAGGCAAGUUCAUAUUUGACCAUUCUUUCAAUUACCUAUGUUUUAUGUAUGCAUUUAUUCCUUUGUGGUAGGAUUGCAUGGUAGGAAUUUUAUGUCGGGUGGCUAUGCUCUUACCUAGCAGUUCAUUUGAGGUAGCGUUGAAGUAUACAACCUUUGUAACCAUCGUGUAAGUUUAUUUUUGCCUCGCUAAUGUAGACGUGGAUUGGGAAGUGUUCAUGGUGAGACAUGAGUGACAAAGUAGUAAUCAGGACCAGGACUUUUAAA
Aegilops tauschii subsp. strangulata is the source of this 804-nucleotide long non-coding RNA. RefSeq lists it as uncharacterized. NCBI's taxonomy places the organism in Eukaryota, Viridiplantae, Streptophyta, Magnoliopsida, Poales, Poaceae. The record is from RefSeq and is a predicted model, not a curated record.